RNAcentral lists this small RNA (57 nucleotides) under Arabidopsis thaliana (thale cress). RNAcentral's name for it is "ATSL264270". Lineage: Eukaryota; Viridiplantae; Streptophyta; Magnoliopsida; Brassicales; Brassicaceae. The record is from RNAcentral.
AAAACAAUAUAUAAAACCCUAAAAACGUUCAGGGACUAAUAAUGCAAAUAGGAAAGU